Molecule: ribosomal RNA, 645 nt
Filed under: Clostridioides difficile
Lineage: Bacteria; Bacillati; Bacillota; Clostridia; Peptostreptococcales; Peptostreptococcaceae
Description: partial 23S ribosomal RNA
Rfam family: Bacterial large subunit ribosomal RNA
Source: RNAcentral
CUUUGAAACCAGGACGCCAGUUUUGGCGGAGCCAUCCUUGGGAUACCACCCUUGUAGUACUGGGACUCUAACCAUAGGCCAUGAAUCUGGUCUUGGGACACUGUCAGGUGGGCAGUUUGACUGGGGCGGUCGCCUCCCAAAAGGUAACGGAGGCGCUCAAAGGUUCUCUCAGUACGGUCGGAAAUCGUACGUAGAGUGUAAAGGCAAAAGAGAGCUUGAUUGCAAGACAUACAGGUCGAGCAAGGAUGAAAAUCGGACUUAGUGAUCCGGUGGUUCUGCGUGGAAGGGCCAUCGCUCAACGGAUAAAAGCUACCCUGGGGAUAACAGGCUUAUCUCCCCCAAGAGUCCACAUCGACGGGGAGGUUUGGCACCUCGAUGUCGGCUCAUCACAUCCUGGGGCUGUAGUAGGUCCCAAGGGUUGGGCUGUUCGCCCAUUAAAGUGGUACGCGAGCUGGGUUCAGAACGUCGUGAGACAGUUCGGUCCCUAUCCGUCGCAGGCGUAGGAAAUUUGAGAAGACCUGUCCUUAGUACGAGAGGACCGGGAUGGACGUACCUCUGGUGUACCAGUUGUUCUGCCAAGGGCAUGGCUGGGUAGCUAUGUACGGAAUGGAUAAGCGCUGAAAGCAUCUAAGCGCGAAGCCAACU